This 937-nucleotide long non-coding RNA is filed under the name Ananas comosus (pineapple). Its description in RNAcentral is "long non-coding RNA (ACOM_LNC003049)". Lineage: Eukaryota; Viridiplantae; Streptophyta; Magnoliopsida; Poales; Bromeliaceae. The record is from RNAcentral.
AAAUGAGUAAGUUGUUUUUUUUUUUAGAGAUAUAUAGUAUGUUUGUUAUCCGUUUCGUUUAUUUCAUUUAGAAAUAAAUUUAGUUAGAAAUAUAAAUCAACUAAAAUUCGAAUUUUGAAUCUCGGAUACCAACCAUCAAGCUAUUUAUCACUUACGCUAGGGACGGUCGGUAAGUGAGUAAGUUGUUGGGAGGUAUUAUCAGUUGAGGAGUUGGUGAGAAAUUUCAUGGGAUUCACAGUGUUCUUGUUUGUGUGUGUGUGUGUGUGUGUGUGUGUGUGUGUGUGUGUGUGUGUGUGUGUGAGAGAGAGAGAGAGAGAGAGAGAGAGAGAGAGAGAGAGAGAGAGAGAGAGAGAUUUAUGUGGUGAAGGGAGGCCAACAACCCACAUGGUUGGCAGUUGGCCAAAGAAGAUGGAAGGUAUGGAGAAGUUGGGCCAAACACUCACAUUACAAGGCAAGCUAGGCUAAUUUUGGAAUAACUUUUUGUCUCCUUUGCACAUAAAUUAAGCAUCCUCAUAUUUAUUUUUGGAUAAACUUCAAAUGCCAUCCAUGUGGUUUCGCAUUUUCUCACUUUAGUACCCUAUGAUUUAAAGUGCAUUAUCAAGUUAUUGUCCUGUAAUUUCAUUUCUAUCUUUUCGUUAGCUUCUCCGUUAAUAUUUCGUUAAAUUAUAUACAAAAAACUUCAGAUACUCCAUAAAGAUUUAUCGAAUAUUCACUUUAGUAUCCUUCAGUUUUAACUUUGUCACUGAUUUAACAAAAAAAAUUAGUGGAAUCGACAAUAAAAAGAUUGAAAUGAAACCACAGGACACUAAAUUGAUACACUUUAAACCAUAGGAUACCAAAGUGAGAAAGUAUAAAACCACAGGAGUGGUAUUUGAAGUUUUUCCUUUAUUUUUCCUCCUGCUGUUUCAAGAAGUGAGUUAUUUUUAAAUUUGAAAUA